This 689-nucleotide ribosomal RNA is filed under the name uncultured organism. RNAcentral's name for it is "bacterial SSU rRNA". It matches the Rfam family "Bacterial small subunit ribosomal RNA", at positions 645 to 1334 of the family's 1533-position model. The record is from RNAcentral.
AGGGCGACAGGGGUAAAGGGAAUUCCCAGUGUAGCGGUGAAAUGCGUAGAGAUUGGGAAGAUCACCGGAGGCGAAAGCGCUCUACUGGGUCGCACCUGACCCUCAGGGACGAAAGCUAAGGUAGCGAAAGGGAUUAGAUACCCCUGUAGUCUUUGCCGUAAACGAUGGGUACUAGGCGUGGUUUGUAUCGACCCAAGCCGUGCCGAAGUUAACGCGUUAAGUAUCCCGCCUGGGGAGUACGCACGCAAGUGUGAAACUCAAAGGAAUUGACGGGGCCCCGCACAAGCGGUGGAGGAUGUGGUUUAAUUCGAUGCAACGCGAAGAACCUUACCAGGGCUUGACAUCCCGCGAAUCUUGCUAAAAGGUGAGAGUGCCUUCGGGAGCGCGGAGACAGGUGGUGCAUGGCUGUCGUCAGCUUGUGUCGUGAGAUGUUGGGUUAAGUCCCGCAAGGAGCGCAACCCUCGUCCUUAGUUGCCACCUUUAAGUUGGGCACUCUAGGGAGACUCCCGGUGACAAACCGGAGGAAGGGGAGGAUGACGUCAAGUCAGCAUCCCCCUUAUGCUGUGGGCGACACACCUCCUACAAUGGUCGGGACAAAGGGGGAGCUACUCUCGCGAGAGUAAGCGAAUCCCAGCAAACUCGCCUCUAGUUCAGAAGCAGGCUGCAACUCGCCUCAGAAGGAGGAAUCG